Dromaius novaehollandiae (emu) is the source of this 4517-nucleotide long non-coding RNA. RefSeq lists it as uncharacterized. The record is from RefSeq and is a predicted model, not a curated record. Lineage: Eukaryota; Metazoa; Chordata; Aves; Casuariiformes; Dromaiidae. The transcript has 3 exons.
CCCCUGUCUGGUGGGGUGGGAGACCGGUGGCUGCUCCCGCCGAGCUGAGAGCCACGUAGGGCACCCCUAUGUGCUCGCUACGCAUCUGGGAUGGCACCCCUGCCCUGAGGGCCCCGCAGAGUCCCACCCUUCCUGCAACCAGCCCCCCCAGAGCCAUUAAACCACCCACAAAUCCUGCCCCAACACCCCCACAGGCCCCAAAACGCCUCCGAGCCCUGCCGCAAUGUUGUCACUGACUCCAGACCUUCCCCUGCACUCUGUGCAAGGCCCCAAACAUUCCUCAAACUGCUGCCAGACCCAGUGCCCGCAGCAGUGAGGCGUUCUAACAAAGAUGGGGUGCGAUGUGCGUCUCCGCCUCGACUCAGUCCCGCUUUAGAGAAACAGGAAGUUACAGCACUUCCUGGUGAAGAGUGUUGACGGGUGAAUGUGCGGAUGACAAAGAGACUUCUCUCUCUUUUCUUCUGAGCCGCCUCUCAGAAGCCUCUGUGUGUGCACGAUGUGGCUGAUCUGGGAUAAUCGUGCUGUGCGCAGUGCUUAAGGAGAACAUUGCCCUAAAAUGGAGGGCUAAGGAAUAGCCUAAGAAACCUAAAAGGCUCGGGAAGAGCCAAAGAGAACACCGAUGGGCUCUGGGAAGCCCCAGUGAUGCUAGCGAAAACAGCGUGGCUUUUAGGCACCUCCUCAGAGCAGCAGCAAUGUCUCGCUCCAGCCUAUGGGACAAUGGGGACUCUUAAUUACCGCCUUGAAUUACCACAAGUGUUGCAAAAGCAGAAGGGACUAGGGAGCAUGCAGAGCAGGUUAUGGACUAUAUGUCAAGUUUAAACAAGCAACAAGCCCCUCUGCAAACAGAAACAGGUUUAGCCCUAAGUAAUAGACGAAGGUAGCUGUGAGUAACGUGAAGCGAAGCGGUGACGUCAGUCACCCCGAAAGCCUCGGAGAAGCGGUCUGAAAAUCUGGUACCCUCGCGACCUCGGCAGUCUUUUUGGUUUGUUUGGCAGGGUAGCCCACCGAAGGGGGACAUCUCGAAGAGAAGCAGCAAGACCUGGGGAUCCGGUGGUUCAUUUUGGUCGUCGCCUGUGAGGCCAGCAUGCAAGAGUAAGAGGAAGCUAGGAGCAGUCUCAAAAAGAUAUGGAACCGAGGACAGCAAAUGCUGACGAAGAGAAGAGACGGACGAGCGUUUGCUUGCGGUUAAUACCGAAGGGACGGGAUGAAACAAGGAAGCCAGAAUGCAGCGGCCCCUCGAUAUCACCAGGAACUGCUACAGGAGGAGGCGUUCUGGCACGGGUAACUAGGGUAAGUAUCGCUAAUGACCGUUAGCAGUUAUUUCGGCCUCCCCGAGGCAGCGCUGAGGACUGAGUAACCCGUUCCUACCCUGUGGCUGCUGUUGCCUGUAUCUGCCUUAGCUUUGCUUUGGCUGUUUCUGUUUUGUUUUGUUAUCGUACGCACAGCUACGGAAAGGAAUAGAUGUCAUACUUACUUUUUUAGAUUAAUUGCCACGGCUGAAGUUGAAGAGACCAAGAAACGUAAGCCCCGAAGGGGCACAUCUUGAAGAGAGGGGGCUAGACCUAGCGAUCCAGUUGUUCGUUUUGGUCGUCGCCUGUGAGGCCAGCAUGCAAGAGUAAGAGGAAGCUAGGAGCAGUCUCAAAAAGGUAAUAGGUCUGAAAGGGAGACAGGCAAAUCGAGGGCUGUCAUUCCUCCACGUAGUUAAAGACCGAGAGAGUUGUCGGUUAAGCGCAUGCAUACGAGGGUUUGCGAACAGUACCAAUAACACUGAAGCGGAAUAAAAAUAAGGUUUCGUGGAAGAUGGCGUUAGGAAGGUAUUAGGCGACGUGCCCGCCUGCCUAAUAACCUAGCCCUAAUUGCUGUGUGUAACGUUUCCAGACCGUUUACCCUGCAACGUAUGGUGCAAAGUGCCGUAUUAAGACCUUUCCCUUAAGGAAAAGAAGAAGGAAAAAAGGGGGAAAAAGAAAACAGGGUAAAGAGAAAAAGAUCAUGCAUAAACCUAAGCGUUUCACUGGAAGUAAAACGCGAGUUUAUCGCUUCCUUACAGAGAUGGAACCAAGGACAGCAAAUGCUGACGAGGAGAAGAGACGGACGAGCGUUUGCUUGCGGUUAAUACCGAAGGGACGGGAUGAAACAAGGAAGCCAGAAUGCAGCGGCCCCUCGAUAUCACCAGGAACUGCUACAGGAGGAGGCGUUCUGGCACGGGUAACUAGGAUUAAUUGCCACGGCUGAAGUUGAAGAGACCAAGAAACGUAAGCCCCGAAGGGGCACAUCUUGAAGAGAGGGGGCUAGACCUAGCGAUCCAGUUGUUCGUUUUGGUCGUCGCCUGUGAGGCCAGCAUGCAAGAGUAAGAGGAAGCUAGGAGCAGUCUCAAAAAGGUAAUAGGUUUGAAAGGGAGACAGGCAAAUCGAGGGCUGUCAUUCCUCCACGUAGUUAAAGACCGAGAGAGUUGUCGGUUAAGCGCAUGCAUACGAGGGUUUGCGAACAGUACCAAUAACACUGAAGCGGAAUAAAAAUAAGGUUUCGUGGAAGAUGGCGUUAGGAAGGUAUUAGGCGACGUGCCCGCCUGCCUAAUAACCUAGCCCUAAUUGCUGUGUGUAACGUUUCCAGACCGUUUACCCUGCAACGUAUGGUGCAAAGUGCCGUAUUAAGACCUUUCCCUUAAGGAAAAGAAGAAGGAAAAAAGAAAAAAAAGGGGGAAAAAGAAAACAGGGUAAAGAGAAAAAGAUCAUGCAUAAACCUAAGCGUUUCACUGGAAGUAAAACGCGAGUUUAUCGCUUCCUUACAGAGAUGGAACCAAGGACAGCAAAUGCUGACGAGGAGAAGAGACGGACGAGCGUUUGCUUGCGGUUAAUACCGAAGGGACGGGAUGAAACAAGGAAGCCAGAAUGCAGCGGCCCCUCGAUAUCACCAGGAACUGCUACAGGAGGAGGCGUUCUGGCACGGGUAACUAGGGUAAGUAUCGCUAAUGACCGUUAGCAGUUAUUUCGGCCUCCCCGAGGCAGCGCUGAGGACUAAGUAACCUGAGGGGCUCUGGCCUGGGUUAGGGCAGAAGUGCAGGCAGGCGGGAUCAGGCAUUUUCCUCUCAGCUCUCCAAGCUGAAUCCUAGCCCUGAAGGAAAAAGCACUGGGGGGAGGCUACUCGGACACCUGCCACGUCGAGGGCAGGGGCAGGAGCUGACCCUUCCCCGACGGACGGACGGACAGACAGACGCUGGUGCGGCGGUGACUCUUUGGAUAUCGUAGGUAAGGGGAGGCACGCUGGUGCCGAGCUCCAGGGCGGUUUGCCUGAACACGAUGCCCGGGGCAGGAGGUUACGCAUUGUGUCCGGGGCUGGGAGCUGGUCCCCGAGUCCCAUGUACUUGGGAGUGCCUGCGCUUGCCAGGGAGCCCGGUGCUGUUCCCAGAGCUGCGGGGAAUUUCCCUUGCGUUGCCUGGACCCUCGGGGCUCUUGGGGGUGUUUCCCCUCAUCGCAAGGGCAGCCAGAGCCCCUCCAGGGCUGCGUGAGGUCCCCGAACCGCUCCCGGAUUUGCUUUUGGCACUCCGCAGUGUCGCUCGUGUGCCUGGGGCAGCCUGCAGGCGCCAUCCUGUCAGCCGCGUUGAGCCCUGCGGCGUGCCUGGUGACCCCUCUGGUGUGCGCCAAGGCCCUUCCUCUGUAUUUUGGUCUGCCCCAGAGCCCUGCACUUGCCCUCUGAUGCCCUCAGGACCCCUCAGUUCACAUUCUGGGUUGCCCCCGAGCCCUCUGCGUGCCUUUCGGUGCGCCCCGUGGCCCCGUGUGUGUUUUGCGGCAUGCCGCAGAGGUCUCUGUUUAGCUUUUUCUCCUGUCCUGGAGUUUUCUGGGUGCUUCUGGGUGUGCCCCAGGGCCCUCCUUUUGGUGCCCCCAGAGUCACUCUGUUUGCUCUAUCGUUCUUUUUUUUUUUUUUUUUUUUUUUUUUUUUUUUUUUUUUUUUUCUUGACUUGUGUUGCACCCAGAGCUCUCGAUUUGUUCUCUUGUGCUCCGCAUACUCCCCUUUCCGCACUCUACACCCCAGGCAGGGCUCUCCCUUCAGCUCUCAGCAAGCUGCUGUCAGGAGAGUGGGGGUGCCUCUGCUGCCCUGGCAGCCCCAGCUGUCCCUGAAGGGGCUGAUGGCCAGGCCCCCUGCCCAGUUCCUGCAGGCCCACAGCUGCGGGCCCUGGGGCUGGGAUGAAUGCCAGGGGGAGCUGGGUGGCAGGACAGGCCCCAGGUGGGGCUGAUGGCAAGGGCAGGCCCACAUUUGGGGGCUGGGGCCGCAGUUGGGGGGAGCUGGCGCUGGGGCAGGAGCUGGGCAGCGGAGCUGCCGCGGAGCACGGCCCUUCGGGACCAGCCCGGCGGCCGCCCCGCGGAGGAGGUGAGCGGGGCCGGGGGAGGCGCACUGCAGGCUGCGGGUCCCGCAUGUGCCGGGGGUCCCGGCGGCUGGGAGCGUCCCGGGGCCACGGAGGCGGGGGGAGGAAGGGGGUGCGCCGGGGCUGCGGUGCGGUUUACUGCGCGGUCGGAGGAGCG